Molecule: ribosomal RNA, 492 nt
Filed under: uncultured bacterium
Lineage: Bacteria
Description: partial 16S ribosomal RNA
Rfam family: Bacterial small subunit ribosomal RNA
Source: RNAcentral
AGUGAACGCUGGCGGUAGGCCUAACACAUGCAAGUCGAACGGCAGCACAGUAAGAGCUUGCUCUUACGGGUGGCGAGUGGCGGACGGGUGAGGAAUACAUCGGAAUCUACUUUUUCGUGGGGGAUAACGUAGGGAAACUUACGCUAAUACCGCAUACGACCUACGGCUGAAAGCAGGGGAUCUUCGGACCUUGCGCGAUUGAAUGAGCCGAUGUCGGAUUAGCUAGUUGGCGGGGUAAAGGCCCACCAAGGCGACGAUCCGUAGCUGGUCUGAGAGGAUGAUCAGCCACACUGGAACUGAGACACGGUCCAGACUCCUACGGGAGGCAGCAGUGGGGAAUAUUAGACAAUGGGCGCAAGCCUGACCGAGCCAAGCCGCGUGGGUGAAGAAGGCCUUCGGGUUGUAAAGCUCUUUUGUUGGGAAAGAAAAGCAGCAGGUUAAAACCCCGCUGUUCUGACGGUACCAAAAGAAUAAGCACCGGCUAACUUCGUG